This 789-nucleotide long non-coding RNA is filed under the name Brassica rapa (field mustard). RNAcentral describes it as "long non-coding RNA (BRAP_LNC000063)". Lineage: Eukaryota; Viridiplantae; Streptophyta; Magnoliopsida; Brassicales; Brassicaceae. The record is from RNAcentral.
UCCUGGUAUUGCAAAAUCCUUGCUUUCUGUUUCAAAAGCUACAUCAGAUUAUCCUUGCUCUUUUAAAUUUGAUGACAAUGGGGUACAUGUUAAGGACAAGCGCACAAAGAGGUUGUUGAUAAAGGGAAGAAACAUUAAGGGUCUUUACCUGUUGGAGCCGUCUGUAGAUGAUUGCGCCUUGUUCUCCUCUAGACAGCAUUCAGUUUCUGAUGAGGUUUGGCAUAGGAGGCUGGGGCAUCCUAAUCAUCAAGUGCUUCAACAGCUCUCUGCAUCAAAGUCAAUCUCAAUAAGCCGAAGUACCAAGAAGAUUUGUGAGAGUUGUCAACUUGGGAAAAGCAGUAGAUUACCUUUUUCAGCUUCUAGUUUCUCUGCUUCGAAACCUUUAGAGCGUGUCCAUUGUGAUCUAUGGGGUCCUGCACCAAUCAUGUCUGGUCAGGGAUUCAAAUACUAUGUAAUCUUCAUAGAUCACUGGUCUAGAUACAGUUGGCUUUACCCUCUAAAGAAUAAAUCAGAUUUUUAUCCUAUCUUCUGCAAAUUUCAAACUCUUGUAGAAAAUCAAUUGAGUUGCAAGAUAGGUACCUUUCAAUGCGAUGGAGGAGGAGAGUUCAUGAGCUCGACGUUCCUCUCUCAUCUGCAACGACAUGGCAUUGCUCAGCAUGUCUCGUGCCCUCACACGCCUCAGAAAAACGGUCUGGCGGAAAGAAAGCAUAGACAUGUAACUGAGCUAGCUCUCUCGAUGCUUUUUGAAAGCAAACUCCCUCACAAGUACUGGGUUGAAGCCUUCUUCAC